Cydia strobilella is the source of this 331-nucleotide long non-coding RNA. RefSeq lists it as uncharacterized. The record is from RefSeq and is a predicted model, not a curated record. NCBI's taxonomy places the organism in Eukaryota, Metazoa, Arthropoda, Insecta, Lepidoptera, Tortricidae. The transcript has 3 exons.
AGGUAGCGAAGCUAUACCGUUACCGUAUCGUCAAGACCAACUUCCUAAGCCACUUGACGUGCCUGUCGCCGAAGGCCAGGAUAUUACAAUAAGCUGUGACUUCAAAACUGGCGACGACCAGCAGAUAAUCUCAUGGAGCAGGCUUGAUCAACGUCAAUUGCCACAAAAUGUUCAACUCAACGACAGAGAACUUAUCUUUCAGAGAACAACCACCGAAAACGCAGCAGAGUACCUCUGCAAAGUGACUAGCGGUGGUUUCUUGCUGCGUCAGCUGUACCUCAGACUGAAGGUGUUGGCGUUGCCGCGCGUCGUCAUCCUUCCGGAGACACCC